GGAACUUAAACUUUUUAAUGAGAAAUUGAUUCAGUAUCUAAAUAUGCUUCAUUCUUCCUUUAACUAAGUGGUUAUUAUUUUUCUCUUUAAUUUUUUAGCAUAUGACGUUCCUAUUUACCUACAAUCAACGAGAUGUCAUUCUUUUGUAACUCAUGCAUACAGAAGAAUCAAAUUGUUGUUAUUUAUCUUUGAAAGACAAACGAUUGUGUCUAU
This 213-nucleotide long non-coding RNA is filed under the name Carica papaya (papaya). RNAcentral describes it as "long non-coding RNA (CPAP_LNC006427)". The record is from RNAcentral. Lineage: Eukaryota; Viridiplantae; Streptophyta; Magnoliopsida; Brassicales; Caricaceae.